AGAGUUUGAUCCUGGCUCAGGACGAACGCUGGCGGCGUGCUUAACACAUGCAAGUCGAACGAGGCCCUGCCUUCGGGCAGGUGACCUAGUGGCGAACGGGUGAGUAACACGUGGGCAACCUACCCUCAGCUCUGGGAUAACCCCGGGAGACCGGAGCUAAUACCGGAUAUGACCUGGAACGACAUCGCUCCAGGUGGAAAGUUUUUCGGCUGAGGAUGGGCCCGCGGCCUAUCAGCUUGUUGGUGGGGUAACGGCCUACCAAGGCGACGACGGGUAGCCGGCCUGAGAGGGCGACCGGCCACACUGGGACUGAGACACGGCCCAGACUCCUACGGGAGGCAGCAGUGGGGAAUAUUGCGCAAUGGGCGAAAGCCUGACGCAGCGACGCCGCGUGAGGGAUGAAGGCCUUCGGGUUGUAAACCUCUUUCAGCAGGGACGAAGCGAAAGUGACGGUACCUGCAGAAGAAGCACCGGCCAACUACGUGCCAGCAGCCGCGGUAAUACGUAGGGUGCAAGCGUUGUCCGGAAUUAUUGGGCGUAAAGAGCUCGUAGGCGGUCUGUCGCGUCGGCUGUGAAAACCCGAGGCUCAACCUCGGGCCUGCAGUCGAUACGGGCAGACUAGAGUGUGGUAGGGGAGACUGGAAUUCCUGGUGUAGCGGUGAAAUGCGCAGAUAUCAGGAGGAACACCGGCGGCGAAGGCGGGUCUCUGGGCCAUAACUGACGCUGAGGAGCGAAAGCGUGGGGAGCGAACAGGAUUAGAUACCCCAGUAGUCC
RNAcentral lists this ribosomal RNA (774 nucleotides) under uncultured bacterium. Its description in RNAcentral is "bacterial SSU rRNA". It matches the Rfam family "Bacterial small subunit ribosomal RNA", at positions 8 to 796 of the family's 1533-position model. The record is from RNAcentral.